CUAGAUGUCACAAAGGCCUCAGGCCAUCUACUAAACUGAUCAACUAUGACCAGUAAGUAUUGCUGUUUCUUACCAAUUUUGGGUACAUGAGUAAAAUCAAUCUUUAAGUGUGUAAAAGGAGCAGCUGGAGGGGGCAAAUGUUCGUGCUGUGAUUUGUGUGGAAUAUUAGGAUGUGUUCUCAUACAUGGUUCACACGAUCUUACAAAAGACUGUACAUGCUGCCUGAGAUUCCUAAUAUAAAAUGAAUUCAUGAGGAAUUGGAUGGUGCUUGCUAUGCUUUUGUGACCAGGACCAUGUGCCUGACUGAUGAAAAUAAAACAG
Pelobates cultripes (western spadefoot toad) is the source of this 321-nucleotide non-coding RNA. The record is from the annotation of a GenBank genome assembly. NCBI's taxonomy places the organism in Eukaryota, Metazoa, Chordata, Amphibia, Anura, Pelobatidae.